GAGUGCUGUUGAGAAGAGCUGCUGUUGAGUCUGAUAUCAGUGUGUGAGUCUCUUCUCUCUUUCUCUGCUGGAGUUUGUGUUUAUUUGAGUGUGACGGAGGUUUUUGUACGACGCUUUCACUAGAAUGAAGCACUGUGGUACACUUUUGGUGGAGGAACUAAACUGACCAUCGCUGGUCCCGCAGUGAAGCCCUCCGUGUCUCUGCUGCCUCCCUCUUCUCUGCAGAUCUCUGGAGACUCAGCCGCACUGCUCUGUCUGCUCAGCUCUUACUCUCCACAGGGGGCGCAGGUGAGCUGGACGCUGGACGGGUCAGAGGUCACCGAGGGGGUUCAGACCAGCGCAGAGAGCGAGCGGGACGGACGCUACAGCCGCAGCAGCGUCCUGAGCCUCAGCAAAGCACGCUGGGAAGCCGGCGAGCGCUUCGUCUGCAGAGUAACACAUGACGGAGCUGAUCACGAGACCUCGUUCCUCAAGAGCUCCGAGUGCUGAUGUUUCUCCAGUGAAGAGCAGCAGGAUUCACAGCAGUCUCCUGAUUUACAGCUCAAUACUCAAGCAGUCUUUCAAUGUGCUGCCAUUGCUGUUCAUUCAAUAAAGCUUCUGAACGCCUUCCAUUUGUGUUCGACUGCAUCAUU
Long non-coding RNA from Carassius auratus (goldfish), 632 nucleotides. RefSeq lists it as uncharacterized. The record is from RefSeq and is a predicted model, not a curated record. NCBI's taxonomy places the organism in Eukaryota, Metazoa, Chordata, Actinopteri, Cypriniformes, Cyprinidae. The transcript has 2 exons.